AGUGAACGCUGGCGGUAGGCCUAACACAUGCAAGUCGAACGGCAGCACAGUAAGAGCUUGCUCUUACGGGUGGCGAGUGGCGGACGGGUGAGGAAUACAUCGGAAUCUACUUUUUCGUGGGGGAUAACGUAGGGAAACUUACGCUAAUACCGCAUACGACCUACGGGUGAAAGCAGGGGAUCUUCGGACCUUGCGCGAUUGAAUGAGCCGAUGUCGGAUUAGCUAGUUGGCGGGGUAAAGGCCCACCAAGGCGACGAUCCGUAGCUGGUCUGAGAGGAUGAUCAGCCACACUGGAACUGAGACACGGUCCAGACUCCUACGGGAGGCAGCAGUGGGGAAUAUUGGACAAUGGGCGAAAGCCUGAUGCAGCAAUACCGCGUGGGUGAAGAAGGCCUUCGGGUCGUAAAGCCCUGUUGUUGGGAAAGAAAAGCAGCAGGUUAAUCCCCCGCUGUUCUGACGGUACCCAAAGAAUAAGCACCGGCUAACUUCGUG
Molecule: ribosomal RNA, 492 nt
Filed under: uncultured bacterium
Lineage: Bacteria
Description: partial 16S ribosomal RNA
Rfam family: Bacterial small subunit ribosomal RNA
Source: RNAcentral